RNAcentral lists this ribosomal RNA (354 nucleotides) under Triticum aestivum (bread wheat). RNAcentral's name for it is "partial small subunit ribosomal RNA". The record is from RNAcentral. Lineage: Eukaryota; Viridiplantae; Streptophyta; Magnoliopsida; Poales; Poaceae.
AUGUCCACUAGCUCAGCGCCGCCGCCGCCGCUCACUCUGCAGGCCGCCACCGUCGCCACCGGGCACCGGAUCUGCGGGCCGCCGCUCCCUCCACAGGCUCCCACUAGCUUGCCGCGCCGUUUCCUCUGCGGGGCGCUCCCACUAUCUCCGCGCCGCUGCUCCCUCUGUGGGCCGCCGCCGCUGCUCUCUCCGCAGGCUGCCAUCUUCGUCGCCGGGCACUGGAUCUGCAGGCCUCCGCCGCUCCCUCUGCUCAGGCCGCCAAACCCACUCCUUCCGCUUCCUCCGCAGGCCGCGGUCGCUGCUCCCUCCGCAGGCCAUCCCGACGAGGUGCAGUUGGCCGGCCGAGGAGCUUGA